RNAcentral lists this ribosomal RNA (304 nucleotides) under uncultured bacterium. RNAcentral describes it as "partial 16S ribosomal RNA". It matches the Rfam family "Bacterial small subunit ribosomal RNA", at positions 506 to 807 of the family's 1533-position model. The record is from RNAcentral.
CAGCAGUAGCCGCGGUAAUACGAGGGGGGCAAGCGUUGUUCGGAAUUAUUGGGCGUAAAGCGCACGUAAGCGGAUCCUUAAGUCAGAGGUGAAAUCCCAAGGCUCAACCUUGGAACUGCCUUUGAUACUGGGGAUCUCGAGUUCGGGAGAGGUGAGUGGAACUGCGAGUGUAGAGGUGAAAUUCGUAGAUAUUCGCAAGAACACCAGUGGCGAAGGCGGCUCACCGGCCCGAUACUGACGCUGAGGUGCGAAAGCGUGGGGAGCAAACAGGAUUAGAUACCCCUGUAGUCCCUGUCUCUUAUAC